Non-coding RNA from Psammomys obesus (fat sand rat), 323 nucleotides. The record is from the annotation of a RefSeq genome assembly. NCBI's taxonomy places the organism in Eukaryota, Metazoa, Chordata, Mammalia, Rodentia, Muridae.
GUUCCACUAGGAACAUUGUUCUGACCCAGUUUCCAGCUUCCUUGACUUUGUCUGUAGGACAAAAGGUCACCAUCUCCUGCAGGGCCAGGGAGAGUGUCAAUCAAUUUGGCAUAAAUCUUAUGCAUUGGUAUCAACAGAAACCAGGACAGCCUCCCAAACUCCUGAUCGUUAAUGUGUAUAGUCUAGAGUCUGGGAUCCCUGCCAGGUUCAGUGGUGAUGACGAUGAAUUAAACUUCACCCUCACCAUCCAUCCUGUGGAAGCUGAUGAUGUUGCAACCUACUAUUGUCAGCAGGGACUAACACUUCCUCUCACAGCCCUCUAA